Molecule: ribosomal RNA, 275 nt
Filed under: Rhipicephalus turanicus
Lineage: Eukaryota; Metazoa; Arthropoda; Arachnida; Ixodida; Ixodidae
Description: partial 12S ribosomal RNA
Source: RNAcentral
AUUAUGAAAGCCAAAAAAUUAUGGCGGUAUUUUAAGCUUUUCAGAGGAAUUUGCUCUUUAAUGGAUAAAACACCUAAAUCUUACUUAAAUUUGUUAAUUCAAUUUGUAUACCACUAUAAAAACAAUUUAUAACUUUAAUUGUUGGUAUUUAUUAAAUUAAAAUAUAUUAAGUCAAGGUGCAGUAAAAAUUUAAGGAUGAAGUGAAUUACAUUACUUUUUAGAGAAAUAAAUUUAAAAUAAUAUUUAGGAUUUGAAAGUAAAAUUAAAAUAUAAUG